AUCCACAGCCAUAUCACCCUGCAGCCCAAGACCGGUUACUCACUAAAGCUAAGCAGGGCUGAGCCUGGUCAGUACCUGAAUGGGAGACCACUAGGGAACACUAGGUUGCUGUUGGAA
Molecule: ribosomal RNA, 117 nt
Filed under: Danio rerio (zebrafish)
Lineage: Eukaryota; Metazoa; Chordata; Actinopteri; Cypriniformes; Danionidae
Source: RNAcentral